This is a long non-coding RNA of Arvicola amphibius (Eurasian water vole), 3401 nucleotides long. RefSeq lists it as uncharacterized. The transcript is spliced from 2 exons. The record is from RefSeq and is a predicted model, not a curated record. NCBI's taxonomy places the organism in Eukaryota, Metazoa, Chordata, Mammalia, Rodentia, Cricetidae.
CAGAAACUGGCAGGUCCUGUGGUCUGUCUUGUGGAAGCUGGAGAUCAGAGAGGCCAGUGUACAGCCUGGAUGCCUGGCGGUCAGGGGUUAAUGGUGCAGUUUCUAGGAGUGUCAAAGGGUAUGGGGAUGAACACCUGCAUUAGCCAGAAGCCCUUCAGCUUCGAGCUGGGCCAGCAAUCUCCGCUUACCUGCUAUGAUAGAACUUGAGACGAAUGCGACAGGUACCGAAUAUCAGGUUGUCUGUCGUCAGUUCCGAUGGCGGGUCCUCGCCUGCCAGCGCUCUACACCUGACCUACAGUGUGGCCUGAAGUAUGUCAGUGGCGUGUUCCAAUGCGGUGAUCCGGAAGGCCCCAGGCUGCUUUGAGUAAAACUGGUUGGGUUUGGAACCAGGGCGGGGCGUAUCUUCUUGGCACCACAGCCUGACACUCAUUCAAUCUGGAAGGGGGUCACCCUCUGGAACCUUCUGUCCUGAAUUGAGUUCUCCCUGUGCCUCAGGUUCUCCCAUAGUUGCUGCCACCAGUUGCUCUGUCACCUUCCACCCAUGAUGUACUCUAAGGGAAGUGGCCCAUCCUGGUUCCCAGGAGUCUCAUGUUCCCUGGUUCUGAGCCCAGUGAGUUUUGCUUUAAGCGGUUUCCUUGGGGCCAAGGUCCCCUCAUUCUGAGGUACUUUAUUCUUCUGUCACCACGCCUGCUUUGACUCACUGCUGGACCAUCCGAGUUAUCUGGCCGCAGGGGUCUCCUAACUUCCCUUAGCUUUUGUGUUUACUUGUUUAUUUGGUGCGCCAUCAGCUUCCUCUUAGCAGAGCACCCACCCCUAGCAUUACGGGUUUCCUCUUAGUGGAGUACCUGCCUCUAACGUUAUGGGUUUCCUCUUAGCGGAGCACCCACCCCUAGCGUUAAGGGUUUCCUCUGAGUGGAGUACCCGCCUCUAACGUUAUGGGUUAAGUUGGUUGGUCCACUCCUUGAGCCAACAGCAGAAGUGGAUGUGAUAGAGCGAGCGCUGGUUCUGACGCACACAGGCCUUCUGUACAACAAGACGUUUGGCUCUUACACCACCUGUAAAGAACUAUGUCCUGUCAUUGUCCGUAUGUAGAUAACUGUAGCCAACACUGCUUGUGCCCAACCAUGACUGAGACCAUGGACCCUGUGAACACGGAGGGGCCUAGGUUCUGACUCCACAGUCCUCCACAUUCCAAGGCCACUCCGAGUACCCAGACGUGUUGAUGGUUUGCCACGGCAACACAACUGUGGCUUUAUGAAAAACUGCACAAAGCACCAGAGCUACAAAACCAUCCAGUCAUACACACUGCGGGCUUCGCACUUAAAAGGACUGGAGUCGGUGAGAGGAAGACAUGUUCUCCCGUGCUCAUCACAGCCUUCUUCACAGCGACCUAUACAUGAAAAGAAUGUGUUUAUUGAUGAAUAAAGGGGUGUGUACACACAGCAGUCACGACUCUGCCUUACAGAAGGAAUCCUUUGUGACUGUAUGGGUGUAUGCAGAAGGCAUUAUUUUAUUUAGGUGAUACUGACUAACCUCACUCAUGUGAAGUCUGCAGCCUCAGGAUGUCUCUGGUUUCUAGGAGCUGAGAGUGUUCUGGGGAAACGGUGGUGACAGCAUAUAAAGCUUCAGUUGGAUGGGAACUCUCCACUCUAGACUGUUGCCUGGUGCUCUCAUAAGAGCUGCAGAUGACCGAAGCCCCCUCUGAAAUGUUCUACCACAAACUCAGGUAUGGAUGUGGGUGACUGGUAUGCUAACUAGCGCCAUGUGCUGAGUUCAUAAUGUAAACACGCAGCAGAAGAGCAUGCAGGGCCCUGAAAUGCAUGCAAUCUGCCCAGUAUCCCCAACUGGUAGGCCUGCUUCAGUGCAGUCUCACCUGGGCCUGGGCUUCAUCACUUCAGGGAUGGUCCCGGUCCUAGUUCUACAGAGGAAUAGGCCAGUGGUGACUUCUCCAGACACACAUGUUGAGGCUAUAAUGUCUGUCUUUCUUGCAGUUACUAUCUUCUAUGUUCUUAGUAGAUGCAGGAGGGUAGGGUGGAGGCCCUGUCAUCCAUUCUCAGUUCUGUUCACAUCUCAGAGGACGACUGUAAAACCCUGGACUCAUCAUUUGAUGAAGGAUUGCUACUCUGUACCAGGCUUCCCUCUGUUCAAUUAUCCCCGAGUGUUUGGUGGAAAUUCCUAUUUGAAGAUUAAUAUUAAAUCUAAAAAGUAAAGCAUAAAGUAUGAGCAUAGUUAGCAAUCAUGAAAUUAACAGAGACAAUUUGUGUUGGCACAUAAAUUACAUGUAUAUGUGUUAUGAAUAAAUACACGUGUGUAUAUACAUAUAUGUAUUUAUGCACACAUACAACCAGUUGACUGCAUUUUGUGUGGUUUGUAUGUAUAUGUUUUUAGGACUAACAUGAGAAUUGGAAAGUUCAUUUCUGUGGAAUAUUACCCUCUCAGUAAUUGUUGAUUGCCUGAAGUUCUUCAUCUAGAAGUAGGGCUCCAUGGCAUGUCAGCUGGCAUUGUCAUUGGUCAGGUCUUGUUUGAGCAGCUAUACUGUUGAGAUUUCAUGAGUGCAGCUCCCCUGUUAUAUAUAAAAAAAAAACCCAUGAUUUUACAGUAUAUCUUUUAAUAAAUGAUGUAGAAAACAGUAUCUUUAGGUACAGUUAAAACGCUUGUGAACUACAUGAGAUCAUUGUAGAUGUUCUCAUAAACAGUUUUAAAAUAUUUUACAUGUAUGUAUCCAAUGUAUUUGAGUGUUUUGCCUGAUUCAUUUGCCAUGUGCAUACAGUGCCUGCAGAGGCCAGGAGAGGAGCCGGAUCCCCAGGAACUGGAGUUAUGAAUGCCAGCUGCCAUGUGAGCCCUGAGAACCAAGCCAGGCCCUUCUAGAAGAGUAGCCAGUGCUCUUAACCGCUGAGCCAUCUCUCCAGCCCCAGUUGCUUUCUCUUUGAAAAGAAAUACUCCUUUAAUUUAAAUUGCCUUCAGCUUCAUGUAUAAAUUAAAUAUAUCAUGCAGGCUUAAGAAUAAAUGUCUUUAUUCCUACUGAUUUUUUCAGGUUAGUAAUUUCAAGAAUUCAGAAAAAUACUAAAACUUAGUAAAUCAUUUUACUAUUCAUGAAUUUUUUACAUGUGUUAUUUGUAAUAGUAAUAAAAUAACAAAUGCAAGAUUAAUGGUUUUCUGGGGAUGUAGUUCACUUGGUAGAGCAUAUGCCUAGCAUGCAGGAAGACCUGUUUUGGAUCCCAGCACCACAUAAAGCAGAUGAUGGCUCAUGCCUGUGACCCCCAGCACUCUGGAGGUGGAAACAGAAAGAUUAGCAGUUCAAAGUUACCCUUGGCUAGAUAGAAAAUUCUUUUGGGAUCAUCCUGGGCUACAUGAGACCCUUUCUCCAAAGAUAAACAAACAAUAAACAAGUCUGAGAAAUA